CUUUAGGAGCUCCUGUUCUACUGAGGGAGAACGACAUGUAAAUUAAUAGCUAUCAUCCCGUAGAAUAAUGUGGGCAGAUAGAAGAGGUUCUGAACUCAAUGGUGGGAGAUGAAAAGGAUACAGGAUGGGGAAAGCAGAAACAGGACAGCUUCACACAGUAAUUGCAAACUGCUCUGAAUCUUGAAGGAAGAGUAAAAAAUUAGCCAGCAGAUCAGCCGGAUGAAGGCGGGAAGACAAAGCCACCUGGCCGGGGUCAUGGAGGAGGUGUGACAGUGAAGGGUCUUCUGCUUCCACACUCACAAGGCUUUGUCUUCUUUGCUUUGCUGACUCUUCCUCAAAUUUAGAGGUUAAACCAGAAGGCAAGAUUGGAUGGGAAUCAUUGUGUCCCCAGCACCUAGGACAUUGGCAGCUGAAUAAAUGCUGAAAUGAUACAUGCUCCCCAAUGGAAGUCAGCCAGCCUUGACUUGGAUAUGUCAAACCCGUCUACUUUGGACCAUGAAAACUAGUGAAUUCACGCAAGAGAUCAGAGGUUAAGAACCUGCUGAAAGCUUUGCCAAGGCGAUGACCUCUCAGGAAAACCUCAGAAUGGAUUUGGUUUGGUCAGAUUCAGCCUUCCCUCUCCCAGGCCAUGUAAUCUUCAUCAUAUACCUGCAUUUUAUGGACAAGUCUGGCCUGUGUACCUUCCCUUUGAACUAAAACUCUGGACUGGAGGCCACAGAGAGUGAACCACUAGUGAGAACAGAAAAAUCUGGAAGAAUCUGGAAGGGUCUUGAAUCUGAAAGACAAAGAAAUAUGGUAAAGGUAAAUUAUUUCAUUCAACUCCCAGAUCAUGGGGUGCUGGCUCCCAGCAAGGGGCUGAAAAAUGGCGGGUAGCAUCAUUGUCAACAUUAUGACAUGUACCAUCUAUAAUCUGUGUGUACUUUCUCCAAUUCUCUUUCCUCUCCUUCUUCCUUAUGUCACUUUGUUACCUCACAGAAUGGGGUUAAUGCUUUGCUAGGUAGGGGAAGGACUCACUCUUUAUCAAAUGCCUCCCCCUCUCACCAAACUUUAUUAAAAAAUGAAAACCUCU
Molecule: long non-coding RNA, 1069 nt
Organism: Prionailurus viverrinus (fishing cat)
Lineage: Eukaryota; Metazoa; Chordata; Mammalia; Carnivora; Felidae
Exons: 5
Source: RefSeq, a predicted model, not a curated record